GAGCUUAUCUAAGUUUACUUCCUGGAUUAUGCUGAAUUCAGAUUUCUACUCGGAUUUUGCAAAUUUUUAGUAUAUAGAUACAAUGACAGUCAGAGAUUUUAUGCUAAAUGGGCAUGUGAUGCUUGGAUGUGUCCCUUCAAACCAAGUCCACGUUUAAAAUUUGCUGAAUAGCGACAUUGUUUGGGAAAAAUACUCUGGCAGAAAAGAGUCUAAACUGUGGAUAGACAUCAGAGUCAGACAUCUGUCUGUUUAUUUCCAUAAGUGAAGUUUGUAUCAACUGACUGAAGGAUCAGUGUUAAAGGAUAACACUACAAUGAAAACAGCUGUGAGUUGUUUCUUUUGAAAAUGACUGCUUGAUGAUAAAGUUUCAAACAACUAUGAAGUGAGUGGAUGUUCUAGAGAGACUAAUUCUUCGAAGAAUGAAUGAUCAUCAUCAUCCUUAUAUUAAAAUAAAAGGAAGGAAGUGACAGCUACAGUCAUGGUAAAAGUAAAUGCAGUCAGAAGACCUCUGAUAUCACCUGAAGAGCCAGCCUUCUCACGAUUCUGUAUCAAAUAAAAAUAACAAGGACUGCUAAAAAGACUUUUUAUAACUUGCAAAUGUGCAGUCUGUGACAUAACUGUCUGAUCCAGGUAGUUUAGUGUUGACAAGAUGACAUUUCAUCUCUAUAGUAGAGGACACAAGUUCGAAAUGCAGUAUGUCAUUGUGAAGGCAAAAUGUUUAUGAAAAUAGUGUGUGUGUUUUCCAAAUAGAGAGGCUGAAAGUGUGGAAUCAUCAAUUAGUGUUUUUGGAAUAAGUUAUGGACAUCUGAAUAGUGAAGAUCUGUCCCUUUUUUGGAUUGCCACAGACCAAAAUAAUGAUUGGUGCCUUUGACAUAAAUAGAAGAACUCACACUGGACACCCUGAAGAUGGAAUUAUGUUGUUUGCAUUAAUGUUUCUUUUUCAGAUUUAUGGAAAAAAAUUAGAAUGUCAUUUCUUAAAAAUGUUGAUAGUUGUUUAACCAAAGACGCUGUAAUUGAAA
Molecule: long non-coding RNA, 1019 nt
Organism: Mercenaria mercenaria
Lineage: Eukaryota; Metazoa; Mollusca; Bivalvia; Venerida; Veneridae
Exons: 4
Source: RefSeq, a predicted model, not a curated record